UAACUGCAUAGCUCUAAUGGUCACUGACAAAAUUAUUUGAUCAGUGUUAAAAAGGAAAUCAGUGAAAAUCUGAUACAGUCACCUCUGCCGUGAAAGUAAUUUGAAAUCGGAAUACUUGCCAUUACACACUUAAAGUU
This 137-nucleotide non-coding RNA is filed under the name Lachnospiraceae bacterium CAG:364. Lineage: Bacteria; Bacillati; Bacillota; Clostridia; Lachnospirales; Lachnospiraceae. RNAcentral also lists the same sequence under 1 other name. The record is from RNAcentral.